AUUGCUUGAGGUUCAACACCAGCCUGGGCAAUAUAGUGAGACCUAGUAUCUACAACAGAAUAAUCAGCUGGGCAUAAUGUGCACCUGCAGUCCCAGUACUCGGGAAGCUAUGGAGGGAGGGUCACUUAAGGCCAGGAAUCAGAGAUUGCAGUUAACUAUUAUGAUGACACUGUACUCUACCCCAGGCAAUAGAACAAGAUCCUGUCUCAAAAAAAUAAAAAAUAAAAAGAAUCUGCCACUAUACACCUAUCAGAAUGGCCAAAAUCCAGAACACCGACUACACGAAAUGCUGGUGGGGAUAUGGAGCCACAGGAACUCAUCUACUGCUGGUCCUACGGCCAGCAGCAUGCUCACCCACACCUCAUCCUGGCACAGCGUAGAGAGAGACGGAUGGCAAUACUUGCUGCAGCCAUUAAAGUGAAAUUAAUCUGCCAUCUCGGCAGCCCCAGACUGAUGAUCACACAAAAAUUCAUUUAUAAUUGCUUACUUCUACUUCACAACAUUCCUUCCAGUGUUUCUGUCCUCUGAAGCUAAAGAAGUCCAUUAACAAUGCAUUAUUUCUUAAUAACUUUUAAAAUUAAUGUUGAUUGGAAGUAUGUCCUCACAUCAACUUACUAGAUCUGACUUCUCCACACACUGGUGAGCUCCCCCACCCCAUGAGUGGCAGGCAGGAGCCUGGGUUUUGUUUGGUUCAAAGCUCUGCUGCACAGGCCCAUGGUGGGUGGCCAGGGAGGGACAGACUAGGCUGAGGGUGGCCUCCUCUGCAGAACCAAAGCACCUUCUAGGGUUGGAAUGGGAGAAUGAAGAGACACAUUCACUUUAUAUUACACAAAAAAGGAAACAAGGUUAAAAUGAAGUUUAUUAUUUUUUUGAUUUUUUUUUUUGUUUUUUUAAAUAAAACUGUUUGUGAAACAGCUAGUUUAUCCCCAUGGCAGAGUGACCCCGAAAGAUGCACUAACCCCUUCUUAAGGCCUUAACAAGAUUUUUUUGUACUUUUUUCUUUUUUUUAGAACUCAGAUAUUUAAAAAUUAUACAUUUUACAAAACAAAACAAUACAACACAACAUAAAGAAUCAUGUAGCACAGGGCUGCCUAUCUGACAGACCUCCUUUUCCUUUAUAAAAAUAAAAGCAAAAAGAAAAGAGUUAAGUGAGUGCUCCUCGUCCGUUUAAUGCACACUGAUCACACCGACAAUCCCUCCCUGUCACUGCCCACAGCUCUCACUGCCUGUGCUGGCAGCAGAGGCCUGGGCUUCCUCCUGUCCCUGUGGGUCCCUGUGGUCAGGGCACAGCUGCCUGGAAUGUGCUGAGGACAAAGGGCCCAGAGGGCCCCAGCACAGGUCACCCCUUAAUUCUGCCUGCUGCUCCAAGGUCGUUGUGUACACUUGGGGCGGGGGGGGGGCUUCAGAUCCUUUCCAACUACAGGGACCCAGGACAUAGUUACAACCUCAGACAUCUGACAGUUUUACCCCCCACAAAAAAAGAUAAAAAUUAAAAAAAAAUAAAUAGUGUUUCUGGAAAUGAAAAAUUUAUUUUUGUGUUUAGACAUCAUUCCCCCACUCUUGAAAACAUGGACCAUUCCCUCUUCCCUCCCCCCAAAACCUUCCCACUUGGAGACAAAUUAAUGACAAAAGGAUGGUUCAGGUGUGGUUUGCCUGCUCUUUCAAUCCUGGGUCUAGUGUUCUCGAAUUGGUGAGCAACAGGCUGAAGAUCAAAGCCACACACACCCUGUCCUUCAUGAGAUGAGGGUUUGUUCACUUCAAUUUCACAUUUGAUUUUCACUGUCAUUGGAACAAAUUUGGAAUUCUUUAACUAGAUAAUUUUAAAAUAGAAUCAAAAGGGAUAGCGCACCUUUCAUUUAAACAAAGUCUUUCCAGACUAAAAA
Molecule: long non-coding RNA, 1883 nt
Organism: Otolemur garnettii (small-eared galago)
Lineage: Eukaryota; Metazoa; Chordata; Mammalia; Primates; Galagidae
Exons: 2
Source: RefSeq, a predicted model, not a curated record